UUGUUAUAGGCCUAUGCGGCUCACUGACAUGGGCUAGUCCCUGGCCCGAAGCUGAACCUGAAGCUUUUGCAGAAGCUUUCGCAAAAGCUACAGCUGAAGCUUCAGCAGAACCUGAUAUGCCUUAAUACCUCUUUCAUCUCUUAUAUUAGGCCAGGUGGGAUAAGCUCUUUUGGCGGGCAUGUUUACCAUUUAUUCAUCACGCCGUAACAAACAAUUAAUUAAGAAGACAAAUUAAGAAAGUAUGCAACCGUGCUUCAAUAUGUCUGCUACAUUAUAAAUAAUUAAUUAUAUCAAUGAAAUACGAAUAAAUAAAUAAAUGUAAUAUUUGUAAACAUA
This is a long non-coding RNA of Wasmannia auropunctata (little fire ant), 336 nucleotides long. RefSeq lists it as uncharacterized. NCBI's taxonomy places the organism in Eukaryota, Metazoa, Arthropoda, Insecta, Hymenoptera, Formicidae. The record is from RefSeq and is a predicted model, not a curated record. The transcript is spliced from 2 exons.